Molecule: ribosomal RNA, 1517 nt
Filed under: uncultured bacterium
Lineage: Bacteria
Description: 16S ribosomal RNA
Rfam family: Bacterial small subunit ribosomal RNA
Source: RNAcentral
UAGAGUUUGAUCAUGGCUCAGGAUGAACGCUAGCGGCAGGCUUAAUACAUGCAAGUCGUGGGGCAGCAUGGUGGUAGCAAUACCACUGAUGGCGACCGGCAAACGGGUGCGGAACACGUACGCAAUCUACCCAGAACUGGCGAAUAGCCCUCCGAAAGGAGGAUUAAUACGCCGUAACAUUAUAAAGUGGCAUCACUUAAUAAUUAAAGCUCCGGCGGUUUUGGAUGAGCGUGCGCCCCAUUAGGUAGUUGGUUGAGGUAAUGGCUCACCAAGCCUGCGAUGGGUAACUGGUGUGAGAGCACGACCAGUCACACGGGCACUGAGACACGGGCCCGACUCCUACGGGAGGCAGCAGUAAGGAAUAUUGGUCAAUGGACGCAAGUCUGAACCAGCCAUGCCGCGUGGAGGAUGAAGGCCCUCUGGGUUGUAAACUUCUUUUAUGGGGGACGAAAUCACUUAUUCUUAAGUGUCUGACGGUACCCCAGGAAUAAGCACCGACUAACUCCGUGCCAGCAGCCGCGGUAAUACGGAGGGUGCAAGCGUUAUCCGGAUUCACUGGGUUUAAAGGGUGCGUAGGAGGGUGAGUAAGUCAGUGGUGAAAUCUUCGAGCUUAACUCGGAAACUGCCGUUGAUACUACUUGUCUUGAAUAUCGUGGAGGUGGGCGGAAUAUGUCAUGUAGCGGUUGAAAUGCUUAGAUACGACAUAGAAACACCAAAUUGCGAAAGCAGCUCGCUACACGAAUAUUUGACUUCUGAGGCACGAAAGCGUGGGGAUCAAACAAGGAUUAAAUACCCUUGGUUAGUUCACGCCCUAAACUUAUGGGAUAUCUCGACCAUACGCGAUUACAUGGUGUUGUGUCUGAGCGAAAGGCAUUUAGUAUCCCAACCUUGGGAAGGUACGACCGGCAGGUUGAAACYUCAAUGGAWUUGGCGGGGGUCCSCMCAAGCGGUGCGARCWUGUGGUUUAAUUCGAUGAUACGCGAGGAACCUUACCUGGGGCUAGAAUGCUGGUGGACCGUGGGUGAAAGCUCACUUUGUAGCAAUACACCGCCAGUAAGGUGCUGCAUGGCUGUCGUCAGCUCGUGCCGUGAGGUGUUGGGUUAAGUCCCGCAACGAGCGCAACCCCCAUCACUAGUUGCCAUCAGGUAACGCUGGGAACUCUAGUGAAACUGCCGUCGUAAGACGCGAGGAAGGAGGGGAUGAUGUCGAGUCAUCAUGGCCUUUAUGCCCAGGGCUACACACGUGCUACAAUGGGAGGGACAAAGAGCUGCCACUUAGCGAUAAGGAGCCAAUCUCAAAAACCCUCUCUCAGUUCAGAUCGCAGUCUGCAACUCGACUGCGUGAAGCUGGAAUCGCUAGUAACCGUAUAUCAGCAAUGAUACGGUGAAUACGUUCCCGGACCUUGCACACACCGCCCGUCAAGCCAUGGAAGCCGGGUGUACCUAAAGUCGGUAACCGAGAGGAGCCGCCUAGGGUAAAACUGGUAACUGGGGCUAAGUCGUAACAAGGUAGCCGUA